This 490-nucleotide ribosomal RNA is filed under the name uncultured bacterium. Its description in RNAcentral is "partial 16S ribosomal RNA". It matches the Rfam family "Bacterial small subunit ribosomal RNA", at positions 30 to 507 of the family's 1533-position model. The record is from RNAcentral.
AUUGAACGCUGGCGGCAGGCCUAACACAUGCAAGUCGAACGGUAACAGGAAGAAGCUUGCUUCUUUGCUGACGAGUGGCGGACGGGUGAGUCAUGUCUGGGAAACUGCCUGAUGGAGGGGGAUAACUACUGGAAACGGUAGCUAAUACCGCAUAACGUCGCAAGACCAAAGAUGGGGACCUUCGGGCCUCUUGCCAUCGGAUGUGCCCAGAUGGGAUUAGCUAGUAGGUGGGGUAACGGCUCACCUAGGCGACGAUCCCUAGCUGGUCUGAGAGGAUGACCAGCCACACUGGAACUGAGACACGGUCCAGACUCCUACGGGAGGCAGCAGUGGGGAAUAUUGCACAAUGGGCGAAAGCCUGAUGCAGCCAUGCCGCGUGUAUGAAGAAGGCCUUCGGGUUGUAAAGUACUUUCAGCGGGGAGGAAGGGAGUAGAGUUAAUACCUGUGCACAUUGACGUUACCCGAAGAAGAAGCACCGGCUAACUCCGUG